UAUUAAAAAUUUCAUCUAUUUGUAUUGUUAAAAUCUGACGAUGAAAUAAUUAAACAGUGACACGUGAUAUGUCAUGUGUAACUUUUAUUGACAUACAAUCAUCGAUUUUUAAAGGUCAAAAUAAAUGAAAUUUUUAAAA
This is a non-coding RNA of Gossypium hirsutum (cotton), 139 nucleotides long. Lineage: Eukaryota; Viridiplantae; Streptophyta; Magnoliopsida; Malvales; Malvaceae. The record is from Rfam.